GUUGAAUCCACUUUUCUCAAAUGUUAAAAUAUGUUAUGAAAAAUGUUGAAUCGUAGUAACUUUAUUUUUUACAAAAUGUUGAUCUGAUUUUAGAAAAUGUUGAAUCUACUAUUUUCAUAUGUUUAGCCAACUAUCAGAAAAUUGUUGAAUGUGAUAUAUUGAAAUAUUGAUUUAAUAUUUUAUUCAGAUCUAAAAUAUUUUCAAAACAAUUGAAAAUAUUUCCCACCCAAAACAAUUCCCCCUAAGGACCCACGUGACAGGUCGAGGGGAUCGGAAAGUGUUGGAAAGGGAUGAAAACUAGCCGUUAGAAAAUGACUGCCGUUUUCUCCCGUCUUUUUUCACCCCGCACU
RNAcentral lists this long non-coding RNA (350 nucleotides) under Setaria viridis. Its description in RNAcentral is "long non-coding RNA (SVIR_LNC006367)". The record is from RNAcentral. Lineage: Eukaryota; Viridiplantae; Streptophyta; Magnoliopsida; Poales; Poaceae.